RNAcentral lists this long non-coding RNA (249 nucleotides) under Prunus dulcis (almond). Its description in RNAcentral is "sRNA ncRNA". The record is from RNAcentral. Lineage: Eukaryota; Viridiplantae; Streptophyta; Magnoliopsida; Rosales; Rosaceae.
AUGGUCACGGCCACCCAAUCCGACGGCUUCAUGCCUAUGUGGAACCAUGCUGAUUGCAUAAUGAAGAAAGCAAAGCAGAUAAAAUCAACCGAUGAUGUUGAAGGCCUAGAGCUCCUUCGUUGGGAAGAUCAGAAGGAAAUUAGAAACUAUGUACAAAGUGGUGGACCCCCAGAUACAAUAACAAUUAAUUAUUUCUUUUUCUUGUUUUUGCUUUUGCUUUCGGCGGUAGACAAAGGCAUGCAAAGAUGA